AUACGGAGGAUGCGAGCGUUAUCCGGAUUCAUUGGGUUUAAAGGGUGCGCAGGCGGACUAUUAAGUCAGCGGUGAAAAGUAUGCGCUUAACGCAUAUCUUGCCUUUGAAACUGGUUGACUAGGAUACGUAUGCUGUGGGAGGAAUGUGUAGUGUAGCGGUGAAAUGCAUAGAUAUUACACAGAACACCGAUUGAGAAGGCAUCUCACAAAUACGUCAUUGACGCGGAGGCACGAAAGUGCGGGGAUCAAACAGGAUUAGAUACCCUGGUAGUCCGCACAGUAAACGAUGAUAACUCGCUGUUGGUUCGGAAGAAUCAGUGGCCAAGCGAAAGCGAUAAGUUAUCCACCUGGGGAGUACGACCGCAAGGUUGAAACUCAAAUGAAUUGACGGGG
Molecule: ribosomal RNA, 393 nt
Filed under: uncultured bacterium
Lineage: Bacteria
Description: partial 16S ribosomal RNA
Rfam family: Bacterial small subunit ribosomal RNA
Source: RNAcentral